RNAcentral lists this ribosomal RNA (739 nucleotides) under Coprothermobacter sp. enrichment culture. RNAcentral describes it as "bacterial SSU rRNA". It matches the Rfam family "Bacterial small subunit ribosomal RNA", at positions 28 to 774 of the family's 1533-position model. Lineage: Bacteria; Pseudomonadati; Coprothermobacterota; Coprothermobacteria; Coprothermobacterales; Coprothermobacteraceae. The record is from RNAcentral.
GACGAACGCUGGCGGCGUGCCUAGUGCAUGCAAGUCGAGCGGGCUACAGUCUUCGGACUGUAGCUUAGCGGCGAACGGGUGAGUAACACGUAGGUGAUCUACCCUUCAGAGGAGGGCAACCUCAGGAAACUGAGGCUAAACCUUCAUACGUUCACUGGUAGGGAUACUGGUGAAGAAAGAGCUACCCACAAGGUAGUUGCUGAAGGAUGAGCCUGCGGCCCAUCAGGUAGUUGGUGAGGUAACGGCUUACCAAGCCGAAGACGGGUAACCGGUCUGAGAGGAUGUCCGGUCACACUGGGACUGAGACACGGCCCAGACUCCUACGGGAGGCAGCAGCAGGGAAUCUUGGGCAAUGGGCGAAAGCCUGACCCAGCGACGCCGCGUGGAGGAAGAAGUCCUUCGGGGCGUAAACUCCUGGACUGGGGGACGAGGAAGGACGGUACCCCAGUAGAAAGGGACGGCUAACUACAUGCCAGCAGCCGCGGUAAAACGUAGGUCCCGAGCGUUGUUCGGAUUCACUGGGUGUAAAGGGCGCGUAGGUGGUUGUCUGUGUCUCAUGUGAAAACUCAGGGCUCAACUCUGAGAUUGCGUGGGAAACUAGGCAGCUAGAGGACGGUAGAGGGGAGUGGAAUUCCCGGUGUAGCGGUAAAAUGCGUAGAUAUCGGGAGGAACACCGGUGGCGAAGGCGGCUCUCUGGGCCGAUCCUGACGCUGAGGCGCGAAAGCUAGGGGAGCGAACC